Canis lupus familiaris (dog) is the source of this 827-nucleotide long non-coding RNA. RefSeq lists it as uncharacterized. The record is from RefSeq and is a predicted model, not a curated record. Lineage: Eukaryota; Metazoa; Chordata; Mammalia; Carnivora; Canidae. The transcript is spliced from 2 exons.
CUGGCUGGCCAGAGGAAGAAGGGGGCUGGGAGCCAUCGCUGGGGAGAGGGAUUCCUGAACACUUGGGCUUCCUGAAUGUCGCCACUGGCCAAGUUGUGAAGGGGAGACGGAGAAUGAGGGGGUGCUGGGGAAGAGAUUCAGGAGGAAGAGCGAAGCCAUCUUGUGAUUCUGGGCCUGGAUGUUGGCAGAGCGUGGGGAAUAGCUGGAGAGAAUGGGCGAUACUUGACGAGAAGGAGGCUCAACAGUUACCACCGGAGUGGCAGCUAGCCCUGGGGAGAUCAGCAGGCAUCAGUUGAAUACUCAUAAAUGUGCUGCCGAGCCGGAAGAGGAGCAGGAGCGUCAGCCCUAGAACCACUGCCAAAUACACUCACUGCUGAUGGACUUUAACCAGUUGCCCGACUUCAGCCAAACCAUGCCAGAGCCGGCAGUCAGCAGGCUGGGCCCCAGACCUCACUCUGCCAGGUGGCAUCAGCAGUGCUCCACCCCUCAUCAUCCUCUCCACUUGCUCCCUGUUCUUCCAUCCUCGACUUCUCCUCCUCAUUUCCUUUCUUCUCACUCCCUCCCUCCCCCAUCCUUCUAGGCAUCACCAUGGCAUCACAGCAGAGCAGAAACCUCAGGGAGAUAUUCACCCACCUCUCCCCGCCUGCCCUCCCCUCCGGAGGAGCCGAAGCUCCUGCCUCACAGCGCUCGCUGCUCCCCCACCCCAUCAUCUUGCUGUGUGUGUGGGGGGGUGGGAGUGCAGUGCUGAACUGAGGGUGAGGGGAAUGGGGUCCCUCCUGGGCUGGGACCCUUCUGAGACCAUAAGCAUGUCCCUUCUCCUUCCUGGG